UAGAAGAUUUUUCCCUAAUCCUAGUAAGCUUCCUCUAGCUUUUUGAUGCAUAAAUUCUCAAGCAGUGCUUUAUUCUUGUUGAUGGUUGAGUUAUUUUGUCACUGCAUAUAUUAUCUUAGAUGAUAAUUUUGUUUGAACGGUAUGUUUUAUUAAAUAAUGUAUGGGUUGAUAUGUGGGAGAACUUCAUAUGUUUCUAUUAGAACUUCAACACUUUGUUGAUACUGCUCUGUGAUUUAUUAUGGGAAUCAUUUAUAUAUAAUGCUUUGUUUGUAAAUUUUUGUGUAAAGAUGAUGCGGCAUA
RNAcentral lists this unclassified non-coding RNA (300 nucleotides) under Hevea brasiliensis (rubber tree). The record is from RNAcentral. Lineage: Eukaryota; Viridiplantae; Streptophyta; Magnoliopsida; Malpighiales; Euphorbiaceae.